GACGAACGCUGGCGGCGUGCUUAACACAUGCAAGUCGAACGGAAAGGCCCUGCUUUUGUGGGGUGCUCGAUUGGCGAACGGGUGAGUAACACGUGAGUAACCUGCCCUUGACUUUGGGAUAACUUCAGGAAACUGGGGCUAAUACCGGAUAGGAGCUCCUGCUGCAUGGUGGGGGUUGGAAAGUUUCGGCGGUUGGGGAUGGACUCGCGGCUUAUCAGCUUGUUGGUGGGGUAGUGGCUUACCAAGGCUUUGACGGGUAGCCGGCCUGAGAGGGUGACCGGCCACAUUGGGACUGAGAUACGGCCCAGACUCCUACGGGAGGCAGAAGUGGGGAAUAUUGCACAAUGGGCGGAAGCCUGAUGAAGAAACGCCGCGUGCGGGAAGACGGCCUUCGGGUUGUAAACCGCUUUCGCCUGUGACGAAGCGUGAGUGACGGUAAUGGGUAAAGAAGCACCGGCUAACUACGUG
Molecule: ribosomal RNA, 468 nt
Filed under: uncultured bacterium
Lineage: Bacteria
Description: partial 16S ribosomal RNA
Rfam family: Bacterial small subunit ribosomal RNA
Source: RNAcentral